RNAcentral lists this ribosomal RNA (458 nucleotides) under Salmonella enterica. RNAcentral describes it as "partial 23S ribosomal RNA". It matches the Rfam family "Bacterial large subunit ribosomal RNA", at positions 1181 to 1637 of the family's 2925-position model. The record is from RNAcentral. Lineage: Bacteria; Pseudomonadati; Pseudomonadota; Gammaproteobacteria; Enterobacterales; Enterobacteriaceae. RNAcentral also lists the same sequence under 2 other names.
GUCAAAGCGUUCAUUAAAGUCGAGUUGGCUUAGGGAUACGUUCGUUGGGUAGGGGAGCGUUCUGUAAGCCUGUGAAGGUGUGUCGUGAGGCAUGCUGGAGGUAUCAGAAGUGCGAAUGCUGACAUAAGUAACGAUAAAGCGGGUGAAAAGCCCGCUCGCCGGAAGACCAAGGGUUCCUGUCCAACGUUAAUCGGGGCAGGGUGAGUCGACCCCUAAGGCGAGGCCGAAAGGCGUAGUCGAUGGGAAACGGGUUAAUAUUCCCGUACUUGGUGUUACUGCGAAGGGGGGACGGAGAAGGCUAUGUUGGCCGGGCGACGGUUGUCCCGGUUUAAGCGUGUAGGUGUGUGUUCCAGGUAAAUCCGGUUCACUUUAACACUGAGGCGUGACGACGAGGCACUACGGUGCUGAAGCAACAAAUGCCCUGCUUCCAGGAAAAGCCUCUAAGCAUCAGGUAACAC